ACACCUCAACUCUCAUGGUUUGCCAUGAUGAGCUUGGACUUUGGAGGUUUUGCUGGCCUUUGGUCGGCUCCUCUCAAACGGAUCAGCUUUCCAGUGUUUGGUGGCGUCACGGGUGUGAUAACUAUCUACGCCUGUGGUUUUCUGCCAGAUAACCUUCAGCGAUGGAGGUUCGCUGGGGCUCAUAAAUGUCUCUCUUCAGUGGAGACAGCUUUUUGGAC
This 218-nucleotide unclassified non-coding RNA is filed under the name uncultured Tomentella. RNAcentral's name for it is "sequence contains ITS2". Lineage: Eukaryota; Fungi; Basidiomycota; Agaricomycetes; Thelephorales; Thelephoraceae. The record is from RNAcentral.